Molecule: ribosomal RNA, 500 nt
Filed under: uncultured bacterium
Lineage: Bacteria
Description: partial 16S ribosomal RNA
Rfam family: Bacterial small subunit ribosomal RNA
Source: RNAcentral
AUUGAACGCUGGCGGCAUGCUUUACACAUGCAAGUCGAACGGUAACAGGGUGCUUGCACCGCUGACGAGUGGCGAACGGGUGAGUAAUGCGUCGGAACGUGCCGAGUAGUGGGGGAUAACGCAGCGAAAGUUGUGCUAAUACCGCAUACGUACUGAGGUAGAAAGUGGGGGGCCUUCGGGCCUCACGCCAUUCGAGCGGCCGACGUCUGAUUAGCUAGUAGGUGAGGUAAAGGCUCACCUAGGCGACGAUCAGUAGCGGGUCUGAGAGGAUGGUCCGCCACACUGGGACUGAGACACGGCCCAGACUCCUACGGGAGGCAGCAGUGGGGAAUUUUGGACAAUGGGCGAAAGCCUGAUCCAGCCAUGCCGCGUGUCUGAAGAAGGCCUUCGGGUUGUAAAGGACUUUUGUCAGGGAGGAAAUCCCUAGUGCUAAUAACACUGGGGGAUGACAGUACCUGAAGAAUAAGCACCGGCUAACUACGUGCCAGCCGCCGCCGUAA